RNAcentral lists this ribosomal RNA (322 nucleotides) under uncultured bacterium. Its description in RNAcentral is "bacterial SSU rRNA". It matches the Rfam family "Bacterial small subunit ribosomal RNA", at positions 83 to 422 of the family's 1533-position model. The record is from RNAcentral.
GCUUCGGCCUUAGUGGCGCACGGGUGAGUAACGCGUGGGAAUCUGCCUAUCAGUGGGGAAUAACGACGGGAAACUGUCGCUAAUACCGCAUACGCCCUUCGGGGGAAAGAUUUAUCGCUGAUAGAUGAGCCCGCGUACGAUUAGCUAGUUGGUGAGGUAAUGGCUCACCAAGGCUACGAUCGUUAGCUGGUCUGAGAGGAUGAUCAGCCACACUGGGACUGAGACACGGCCCAGACUCCUACGGGAGGCAGCAGUGGGGAAUAUUGGACAAUGGGCGAAAGCCUGAUCCAGCAAUGCCGCGUGAGUGAUGAAGGCCUUAGGG